CACCUUUUAAAGGUAAUAUAACAAACCCUAAACACAAAUGAAUACAAGCUAUAGUUCAAAUCCUGAAAAUUAAAAGUAUGUUUUAGGAAUUUUCUGACUAUGAGCAUUAAAA
Pipistrellus kuhlii (Kuhl's pipistrelle) is the source of this 112-nucleotide long non-coding RNA. RefSeq lists it as uncharacterized. The record is from RefSeq and is a predicted model, not a curated record. The transcript is spliced from 3 exons. NCBI's taxonomy places the organism in Eukaryota, Metazoa, Chordata, Mammalia, Chiroptera, Vespertilionidae.